AUUGAACGCUGGCGGCAGGCCUAACACAUGCAAGUCGAGCGGAUGAAGGGAGCUUGCUCCUGGAUUCAGCGGCGGACGGGUGAGUAAUGCCUAGGAAUCUGCCUGGUAGUGGGGGAUAACGUCCGGAAACGGGCGCUAAUACCGCAUACGUCCUGAGGGAGAAAGUGGGGGAUCUUCGGACCUCACGCUAUCAGAUGAGCCUAGGUCGGAUUAGCUAGUUGGUGGGGUAAAGGCCUACCAAGGCGACGAUCCGUAACUGGUCUGAGAGGAUGAUCAGUCACACUGGAACUGAGACACGGUCCAGACUCCUACGGGAGGCAGCAGUGGGGAAUAUUGGACAAUGGGCGAAAGCCUGAUCCAGCCAUGCCGCGUGUGUGAAGAAGGUCUUCGGAUUGUAAAGCACUUUAAGUUGGGAGGAAGGGCAGUAAGUUAAUACCUUGCUGUUUUGACGUUACCAACAGAAUAAGCACCGGCUAACUUCGUGCCAGCAGCCGCGGUAAUACGAAGGGUGCAAGCGUUAAUCGGAAUUACUGGGCGUAAAGCGCGCGUAGGUGGUUCAGCAAGUUGGAUGUGAAAUCCCCGGGCUCAACCUGGGAACUGCAUCCAAAACUACUGAGCUAGAGUACGGUAGAGGGUGGUGGGAUU
Molecule: ribosomal RNA, 645 nt
Filed under: uncultured Pseudomonas sp.
Lineage: Bacteria; Pseudomonadati; Pseudomonadota; Gammaproteobacteria; Pseudomonadales; Pseudomonadaceae
Description: bacterial SSU rRNA
Rfam family: Bacterial small subunit ribosomal RNA
Source: RNAcentral